UCAAAUCCACGUUUGCUAUAGUCCUAAGAAAUUCAGUGACAGUAUUCAAAGCUAUAUAAUAAAGAAGGUAUAAAAAAAAAAGAAGGAAGGUGAAAUAUAAUGUCCUCUUCCUUCUUUCAGGUUAUUUUCAUCUUCUUUCUAAUUAGCCAAUCUUCUUUCUUAAGCUGCAAACAUCCUCACUUUUAUUCAAAUAUAAGAGAAACCGCCAUACAGGAAAGACCAUAGGUCAAUUCAAAGUUAAUGUUGACAAGGUGAAAGCUUAUACAUUGGCUAAUCAUUCAGGUCAUACCCCAAGACACCACUCUACACUUCUACAGUGAGUCACAUUGAAUAAAAAUCAAUGGAUGCUUGCAUACAUGGGUUUGGAACCUCUGAACUCUCUACAUGUUCCUAAUUCAAGAUGUUAUGAACCUGCACCUCCAACCAAUUAUGAGUUACCAUGGAAGCAAAACCUUAUUAUUGGAUGGACUAUUGAUUCAACUAUGCAUCAACUAAAAACCAACUCAGAUUUACAAAAUUUGGAGAGUUUCUUUUGGACUUAGAUUUGAAAUACAUGAAAUAAUAGGAUUUUACAAAGACAGAAUCUGUGUCAAACUUUCAGACACGACUUGAAAAUAAAAGUACCAAACAUUGUAGUAGUACUAGAAUAGAUUCCAAAAUCCAUUAGUAGAAUAGCAUCUCUCUCUCUCAUUUCAAGUAAUUCAAAUACACAUCAUGCGUUCUUUACUGAUAACCAUGUGCUAUCAAACUACUUAGAUUUCUAUUCAUCCAGUUAUAAGCACAGAUAGAGUACACAAUUCACCUUCAUUGUCUCGUUCGAGGUCUAAUUGACUAGAUACGGGACACAAACACCUUUUUGAAAGGAUUAAGGAUGGAUAUUUGCAGUAAUACACGAAACAAAGGAUAAAGGAACAAACACAUUCAUAAAAGCUAGAAAUUGCACAGAUUAAGGAAAACUUGCUAUAGAUGGUGUUGCCAUGUGCAGCAUAGAUGGUUGAAUUCAUUCAAGUUGAAGGGGUCAAAAAGGUAAAAGCCAAACCAAAAAAUAACAUAGUUUGAAAUCUAACAGGAUAUUUUUAUUACUGAGAAUAUUCAAUACAGUAUUAAAACAAGACAAAAUAGAAGAGGAAAAAAACAUAACAGUUGACCACAACUAUACUGGAUUAAGAUUUAGUUUAGUUAAGCUGUUUCUAUUUCUACCAAACUCAAGUUUUCCUCUUAUGGAACGCAAGAUACUUGCAUGUAAGUUACAUUAAAAGGAUUCAUAUGAUACAGCCAAUAAUUACAACUCACCGAAAGUAGCUUCUUUCUGAGGU
This 1316-nucleotide unclassified non-coding RNA is filed under the name Hevea brasiliensis (rubber tree). The record is from RNAcentral. Lineage: Eukaryota; Viridiplantae; Streptophyta; Magnoliopsida; Malpighiales; Euphorbiaceae.